AAAAUUUAAAAUUAUGAAUAUUUUAUUCAUUUAAUCAAAACCCUACUCAGCGAAGCUCAACAACAGCUCCAACAAAACGACAUCGCAUUUCGUACUGAACUCAAUUCGCCGGAAAACGCAGCCGGAGUUCGUCGUCGGCCGCCUCAAACAGUAAGAAGAUAGUCCUGAAUGUCCUGUUAUUGUAGGAUAAUCAGUGUUGUUAAUCAUGGUAUGGUCAAGUAUAAGUAGGAGAACCCGUCUUUUGCCGUACUUAAGGGCUUUCCGAAAUUCCCCAGAAUUCAGGGGGCAAUCUAUUAUUCCUGAAGGACCAGGUUAUAACAUAGUUAAUCCUUGUUCUGGAUUCCAGCGUGAUUUCUCUUGUAAAAUACGUCUGUCAAGGUUUAAGCAUGAAUUGAGUACAUUGUCACUCCAUCAUUGUUACCGCUCUUCAGCUUUUGCUUCACACAAUGUUGGAAGGUUGUGUUCCAUGCCUGGUUUCCGACACAUCUCAUCUCAUGCAUCCAGAGAGCAAAAAUCACGAAAGAUGCUCAUUUACUUGACAGGCUUGGUCUUUGGAAUGGUUGGAAUGUCAUAUGCUGCAGUUCCCCUUUACCGGAGAUUUUGCCAAGCAACUGGCUAUGGGGGAACUAUUACCCGACGUGAGAGUGUUGAAGAAAAGAUUGAAAGGCAUGAUAGAAAUCAAACAGCCACCUCAAGGGAAAUUGUGGUACAGUUCAAUGCUGAUAUUGCUGAUGGGAUGCAAUGGAAGUUUGUUCCUACACAGAGAGAGGUUAGGGUGAAGCCCGGAGAAAGUGCCCUCGCAUUUUAUACCGCAGAAAACAAAAGUUCUACUCCAAUAACCGGUGUUUCUACCUAUAAUGUAACUCCUAUGAAGGCUGGAGUUUACUUUAAUAAAAUACAAUGCUUCUGUUUUGAGGAGCAGCGACUACUUCCCGGAGAGCAGAUUGACAUGCCUGUAUUCUUUUAUAUCGACCCGGAAAUUGAGGACGAUCCUAAAAUGGAUGGUAUCAAUAACAUAAUAUUAUCAUAUACUUUCUUCAAGGUUUCUGAAGAAUAAUACCCACUUGAACAUUUAAAACAUAAAUAACGGCGUUGCUACCUUUCCUGGAAGCUCAUUGCUCAAGUGUUUUGAAGGUUCAGUGGAAUCAUUUAUUACCUUCCUGAAUCAGUGUUGUUUAGUGUUAAUUUAUUGUGUCAUGUGGAAUGCAAAAGAGCCUGGUGAAGAAUCUCUUAGCAAUUUAGACACAUUUCUUUGUUUUUAAUGUUAAUUGAAAAGUCAUGAUCAUUGAGAUAUUUGGCUAUUAUUCGAUUGAAACCAGAGAGGUAUGAAUCUGGACUUUAUGUUUGUUGGGCUCAUGUAUCAUUGUAAUAUUUUAUAAAAUACCACAACUUUCAAUAAUUUUAAUUUGAAACUUUAAAGUUUA
Lathyrus oleraceus (garden pea) is the source of this 1424-nucleotide RNA transcript. It is a transcript of the gene named cytochrome c oxidase assembly protein COX11, mitochondrial, with no coding region annotated. The record is from RefSeq and is a predicted model, not a curated record. Lineage: Eukaryota; Viridiplantae; Streptophyta; Magnoliopsida; Fabales; Fabaceae. The transcript has 9 exons.